UGUAUCUGAGGCCUGACGAGGAUGAGAACCUCCGGGGGCAAGAGGUUCGACCCGAGCGAAGCGAGAGAACGUUGCGUCAGCAACGGCCCGCAGGGCGAGCCACGUAGUAGAGAGUCAUCCUCUAUCACCGACCA
This 134-nucleotide small RNA is filed under the name Salmonella enterica subsp. enterica serovar Bareilly. Its description in RNAcentral is "RtT sRNA". It matches the Rfam family "RtT RNA". Rfam says of the family: This family represents a bacterial cis-regulatory element known as RtT RNA. The exact function of RtT is unknown although it is thought that it may be involved in changing the cellular response in relation to amino acid starvation. Lineage: Bacteria; Pseudomonadati; Pseudomonadota; Gammaproteobacteria; Enterobacterales; Enterobacteriaceae. The record is from RNAcentral.